AUACAGAGGGUGCGAGCGUUAAUCGGAAUUACUGGGCGUAAAGCGCGCGUAGGCGGCUUGGUCAGUCGGAUGUGAAAGCCCUGGGCUCAACCUGGGGAUUGCAUUCGAUACUGCCAAGCUCGAGUAUGGGAGAGGGAAGUGGAAUUUCCGGUGUAGCGGUGAAAUGCGUAGAUAUCGGAAAGAACACCAGUGGCGAAGGCGACUUCCUGGCCCAAUACUGACGCUGAGGUGCGAAAGCGUGGGGAGCGAACAGGAUUAGAAACCCUAGUAGUCC
This 274-nucleotide ribosomal RNA is filed under the name uncultured bacterium. RNAcentral describes it as "partial 16S ribosomal RNA". It matches the Rfam family "Bacterial small subunit ribosomal RNA", at positions 523 to 796 of the family's 1533-position model. The record is from RNAcentral.